AACCAAUUAAAAUUACAAACGAUAAUUUCUUGAAAAAUUAAAACCACAAGAAUCGAGUAAAAACAGAUAGAACCCCUCGCGAAAAAGCUUACUAAAGUUUUGUAAACAGUCUCCUCGCAACUGCCGAAAUUAGAAAUGGAAAACACAAUUCGCUGCAAUUUUAAUCCACUGAUUUUAAACCAGCUUCAAAUUACCUUAAAAGCCAAAGUUCAACUUCAACGGCAUCCAUCCUUUAGCAUUGAGCCAAACUCAAAAGCUAUAAAACUAGCAUUAAACCAACGUUACCAAUUGCAUUACCAAUUGCAGCUUUAAACCAAAAUUCCCUUGACAUAUUUCAUAAAUGGAUCCAGAGUCGAUUUAUUGGUCAAAGAAACGUUUCCAGAUGGGUCGUCUUAUCCUGCAUAGGUUCUAUAAUUGAGAAUAUUGUAAAACAGGGCAGAAAACUACCAGAAAGAAAGCAAUUGAAGAUGAGGUUGUUGAGCACAAAUGACGUCUUAUAUGCAAUCUCUCACCUCAAUUGAUAUAAUUAUUUUCGGCCCGUAACUUGAAAAGGAAACACAGAUUGAAAUCUUGACCAAUAAAGAGCAAAGAGCAUUACUACAUUAAACAUUAUGACAGAAACUGUUACCACACAUUAAAGCUUUGACUGCAACACCAUCAAACUCCAUCAGAAACCUGCCUUGGAUUUUCCAUCUCUUCAUCACCAAACCAUGUUUAAGUUACCUUGGGACUACUUUCUCGAUAUAAAACAGUAUAAUAGAAGUAACAUAAAGAAUAAAGUAUUACAACAGAAGAAAUUUCAGGAAUGAAAACAGAUCCAUAUCAAACCUCAACUCGUAACAUGAAUCUGCAAACAAAGUGGUUGGAGAUACAGGAAAGCUUUACAAAAUGCUGUACAAGGUAUCAAAUCAAUGGAAAUGUCCAUAGAUUUAACAAGUACAAAGAAAGAACCACAUCAUCCUGUGAGCCAAUACUGUAACAUUUAAAUAUACUGGUGCAUUCACUUACGGUCUUAUGAAAUGAAUUAAAAACAAAACAAUGAAAUCGCAAAAUGCCCAUGUUUCAGGUUUCAAAUAGAAAAAGAUCCCGUAAAACGAAGAACCUCAGUGUCGACGCAAUAUCAUGAGUUCAAAUGAUAAAUAAAAUUUUAAUACUAAGAAAAUUUGCUUAUUACGUGAAUUGAAACCCUCUUAGAAUGUUUACCUUGGAAAGGGUGAUUCGGAAACCGUAACGCAGAUAAAAUCCCCGAAGCAAACUGUCCAUACCAAAUACUAAAUUAUUUUAGCCAAACUAAAAACCUCAGUUUCCGUUAGCCAUAACGGGUGGGACCACAGAAAAAGCAUCGAGGCAUCGUGUAAAUUAUUUGAUCUACUGCAUGUUGAAUGAGAUAUAUUGUUGGAUAUGGCUUAUCUAUAGUAAACUGAAUGUAACAUGUGUACCUUUAACGAUCUUCAGGGAUGGAUGA
Molecule: long non-coding RNA, 1465 nt
Filed under: Vitis vinifera (wine grape)
Lineage: Eukaryota; Viridiplantae; Streptophyta; Magnoliopsida; Vitales; Vitaceae
Description: long non-coding RNA (VVIN_LNC008116)
Source: RNAcentral